GCGGUGUAACUUGCAAGAGUGAGAAUGAAUGAAUGAAUGAAUACAUGUUAUGGCAUCUGGCGGGUUUAUAUAUGGUGAGCGGUUAAAACCAUUCUCGCUUAAUCUGGUGUGGGCUGUGAGAGACCAACUAAUCUGAUCGGAUGGUUUUUAAUGGACCAAUAACUCACAUCAGGUGGGGGGCCAUCUAACCAGGAUCCAUCUAUUCAUCGUCCUUCAACGAAGAUACUUUGGAUUGGGCCUUCAAAGUAGGGUCGUUCUUGAUGGGCAUUUGGCUGACUCAUAAUAGUCUUCCUCCAAGUCUUUCUUAUCGCUUGUGAAGAUAGGAUUGAGUUGGAGCUUCAAAGUCGGCCUCAAGACUGUUAUUAUUUAGUUCCUUGAUUACAUGGGUUGGUCCACACUUUAGAGGAUAUGACUAGAGGAAUUCGUUGAGUAGGAGGAGGUACGCUCGAGAACACACGCAUUAAAUAUUUGUAUUGUAACAAAAAUGUUUCCAACAUCAUUCUUUCAUGUGGCCCUGGGUCUAGAGGUAAAGGCGGCUUGUUUAGGAUACUCGAGUGUCAUGGAGAAUCGAGGUUUAAUUAGGAUCGUUAGUGGUGAUGGUGCAUUUUCCCAAACCCAUCAUUGUUAAUCGUGUGGACGUCUGUAGUUAUUGUAUGAAGGUAAAAGGGUCAAUUUGGUCUUAUUUUACCCUUCCCACUUGUGAGACUCGAGGAUUCAUGUGUUAUCCUCCGCUGUAUCUAACCAUAAGUUAUACCGCUCUUCUUCUCCUCAGUAUCACUUCUUUGUUCUGACAACUCUCACAGUGUUUAUGAGGCUUAACCCCUACGCACUCCAAAAGCUGCGACUUUUCAAGGUUGAGUAGCUGAUAUAGCACGCACAAAUUUGGUGGUUUGGACAUGAGGUUUUAGCAUACAUAGGCAUGGUAUUUGUGGGGGUUAAGGCAUGAAGUUAUGGCAAUGCAAUAUGAGGUUUGGCUUGGCGAUGGCAUGGACGGGGUCAUGGGAGAUUUGGUGAAGCUGAAAAGUAAUAUGGACAUGGAGAUGAAGAAAGAUAGGUUUAGGGAGAAGUUUGACUUUGGUCAACUAUUUGACUAAAGUCAACAGUUGACCAAAAGUCAACUAUUUGUCAAAGUUAGGUUUUUUUGCAUGUAAUCUUUCAUUUCAGAAUUUUUAUAGUGUGUUUUUAUAUACUUGAAUGUACUUUGGCUUUGUAUAGGUUUCCUUAUAUGGAUAACUUGAUAUUUAAGUAAUGAACAUUUUUCCCUCCAUUAUUCAAA
This is a long non-coding RNA of Lathyrus oleraceus (garden pea), 1276 nucleotides long. RefSeq lists it as uncharacterized. The record is from RefSeq and is a predicted model, not a curated record. Lineage: Eukaryota; Viridiplantae; Streptophyta; Magnoliopsida; Fabales; Fabaceae. The transcript has 2 exons.